This 910-nucleotide ribosomal RNA is filed under the name uncultured Thermotoga sp. RNAcentral describes it as "bacterial SSU rRNA". It matches the Rfam family "Bacterial small subunit ribosomal RNA", at positions 8 to 916 of the family's 1533-position model. The record is from RNAcentral. Lineage: Bacteria; Thermotogati; Thermotogota; Thermotogae; Thermotogales; Thermotogaceae.
AGAGUUUGAUCCUGGCUCAGGGUGAACGCUGGCGGCGUGCCUAACACAUGCAAGUCGAGCGGGUACCCGCAAGGGUACCAGCGGCGCACGGGUGAGUAACACGUGGGUAAUCUACCCCUCGGAGGGGGAUAACCGGGGGAAACUCCGGCUAAUACCCCAUACGAUCCAACAACACAAGUUGUUGGAUGAAAGGAGCGUUUGCUCCGCCGAGGGAUGAGCCCGCGGCCCAUCAGGUAGUUGGUGGGGUAAUGGCCCACCAAGCCUACGACGGGUAGCCGGCCUGAGAGGGUGGUCGGCCACAAGGGCACUGAGACACGGGCCCUACUCCUACGGGAGGCAGCAGUGGGGAAUCUUGGACAAUGGGCGAAAGCCUGAUCCAGCGACGCCGCGUGGGGGAUGAAGCCCUUCGGGGUGUAAACCCCUGUUGCGAGGGAGGAAUAAGGCCUGGAGGAAAUGCCAGGCCGAUGACUGUACCUCGCGAGGAAGCCCCGGCUAACUACGUGCCCGCAGCCGCGGUAAUACGUAGGGGGCGAGCGUUACCCGGAUUCACUGGGCGUAAAGCGGGUGUAGGCGGCUCGGUAAGUCGGGUGUGAAAUCCCACAGCUCAACUGUGGAAUUGCGCCCGAAACUGCUGAGCUUGGGGCCGGUAGAGGGAGACGGAACUGCCGGUGUAGGGGUGAAAUCCGUAGAUAUCGGCAGGAACGCCGGUGGGGAAGCCGGUCUCCUGGGCCGCGCCCGACGCUGAGACCCGAAAGCUAGGGGAGCAAACCGGAUUAGAUACCCGGGUAGUCCUAGCCGUAAACGAUGCCCACUAGGUGUGGGGGAUUAAUUCCUCCGUGCUGUAGCUAACGCGUUAAGUGGGCCGCCUGGGGAGUACGCCCGCAAGGGUGAAACUCAAAGGAAUUGACGG